RNAcentral lists this non-coding RNA (124 nucleotides) under Tropilaelaps mercedesae. Its description in RNAcentral is "U4atac minor spliceosomal RNA". It matches the Rfam family "U4atac minor spliceosomal RNA". From Rfam's summary of the family: U4atac is an essential component of the minor U12-type spliceosome complex which is required for removal of the rarer class of eukaryotic introns (AT-AC, U12-type). These interacting stem loops have been shown to be required for in vivo splicing. Lineage: Eukaryota; Metazoa; Arthropoda; Arachnida; Mesostigmata; Laelapidae. The record is from Rfam by way of RNAcentral.
ACCGUCCUCGUCCAGGGGUGGUAGUCGGUCCGUGAGCGUUAAGUGAGGCCGGCUAUGCCGACGCCCUGAGUCGAAGUCGAUCGCCUGUGCACUACUUUAUUCUGCACAGGCAAUUUUUGGAGCC